GACGAACGCUGGCGGCGUGCCUAACACAUGCAAGUCGAACGGGGAGUUACUUGUAACUCCUAGUGGCGAACGGGUGAGUAACGCGUAGACAACCUGCCUCUAAAUUGGGGACAACACCGCGAAAGUGGUGCUAAUACCGAAUGUGGUAACUUGAUCGCAUGAUCGAGUUAAGAAAGAUGGCCUCUAUUUAUAAGCUAUCGAUUAGAGAUGGGUCUGCGUCUGAUUAGCUAGUUGGUGAGGUAAUGGCUCACCAAGGCGACGAUCAGUAGCCGGUCUGAGAGGAUGAACGGCAACACUGGGACUGAGACACGGCCCAGACUCCUACGGGAGGCAGCAGUGGGGAAUCUUCCGCAAUGGACGAAAGUCUGACGGAGCAACGCCGCGUGAGUGAAGAAGGUCUUCGGAUUGUAAAGCUCUGUCGUUUGGGACGAACGUGCUUUGUGUGAAUAAUGCAGAGUAAUGACGGUACCAAAGGAGGAAGCCACGGCUAACUACGUGCCAGCCGCCGCAGUAA
This 514-nucleotide ribosomal RNA is filed under the name uncultured bacterium. Its description in RNAcentral is "partial 16S ribosomal RNA". It matches the Rfam family "Bacterial small subunit ribosomal RNA", at positions 28 to 523 of the family's 1533-position model. The record is from RNAcentral.